RNAcentral lists this ribosomal RNA (325 nucleotides) under uncultured bacterium. Its description in RNAcentral is "bacterial SSU rRNA". It matches the Rfam family "Bacterial small subunit ribosomal RNA", at positions 28 to 334 of the family's 1533-position model. The record is from RNAcentral.
GAUGAACGCUGGCGGCGUGCUUAACACAUGCAAGUCGAACGGAGUGCUCAUGACGGAGGAUUCGUCCAACGGAUUGAGUUACUUAGUGGCGGACGGGUGAGUAACGCGUGAGUAACCUGCCUUGGAGUGGGGAAUAACACAGAGAAAUUUGUGCUAAUACCGCAUAAUGCAGUUGUGCCGCAUGGUACUGACUGCCAAAGAUUUAUCGCUCUAAGAUGGACUCGCGUCUGAUUAGCUAGUUGGCGGGGUAACGGCCCACCAAGGCGACGAUCAGUAGCCGGACUGAGAGGUUGGCCGGCCACAUUGGGACUGAGACACGGCCCAG